This 95-nucleotide ribosomal RNA is filed under the name Oscillospiraceae bacterium. Lineage: Bacteria; Bacillati; Bacillota; Clostridia; Eubacteriales; Oscillospiraceae. The record is from RNAcentral.
GGUCCACCCGUUCCCAUCCCGAACACGGAAGUUAAGCUCAUCUGCGCCGAAGAUACUUACCUGGCAACGGGUUGGUAAAAUAGGUGAUGCCAACA